Molecule: long non-coding RNA, 299 nt
Filed under: Actinidia chinensis (golden kiwifruit)
Lineage: Eukaryota; Viridiplantae; Streptophyta; Magnoliopsida; Ericales; Actinidiaceae
Description: long non-coding RNA (ACHI_LNC000409)
Source: RNAcentral
UGAGUUGUUGUUGUCGUAAGGUUCUGCUCCUGCUUUAUAAGGUGUUGGAGAGAGGAAAGAGAGGUGGGAAAGGGAGAAUUGCUUUGUUCCUUGUGUUGAUUUUCUUAUCUUUUGAUGAGAGAGGAUGGAGUUAUAGAGAGGAUGGAAAGGGAGAAUUGCUUUGUUGCUUGUGUUGAUUUUCUUAUCUGUUGGUGUGGUCUUUUUUUUUUUUUGGUACCAUUACUUUGACUCCUCCAAUUUGGCAUUGGAAACUUUUUUAAGGGUAAAUUACAUUAAACCCCCUUCAACUAUAAAUUCAG